Molecule: non-coding RNA, 3492 nt
Organism: Equus caballus (horse)
Lineage: Eukaryota; Metazoa; Chordata; Mammalia; Perissodactyla; Equidae
Source: RefSeq, a predicted model, not a curated record
UGACUCGGUAAGGCGCCGGCCGGCUAGCGGGAGGCAGGUUGGCCCAGGGGCGGGGAGGGGGCUUCUAUCCGUCUCUCCUCCCCAUUCCUGAAGACUGGGGAGGAGAGGCGCCAACAACAUCCCAGGCUAGGGAGAGGUUUGACUACCUACCCUCCUGUCUACACUGAUUGGAAAGAGUGGGAGUUGCCUGGACUCCCUCAACCCCCAACACACACACACACACACACACACAGAGUACUGGAUCCCCUCUUCAGUGUACCCACCCACAUUCAUUGUGCACUGAGCAUCUCUUUAUUCAUCUCUCUUUCCUAGCAGACCAUGAGGUCCUUGAGGACAUAGACUGGAUUUUUUCAUCUCAAUCCUCAGCAGCGCAAAGUGGAUGCUAAGAAAAUGUUUGUGGAACUGAAACCUUUGUCUUCUCAAAAGAACUCUCUCCUAACCUCAAAGUGCUACACACAUAGACACCCCCCCCCCCCCACACACACACACACAGACCCUAUAGGAGGGUAGAAGCAAUGAAGAAGAAAUUGUAAAGCACUUUUGAAAAGCACUGUACAUAUAUUAUUUCAAUGUUUACCACAAAGCUAUGAGAAAGAUGUUAUGGCCCCAUUACACUGGUAAGGAAAGGGAGGCUUGCAUUAGUUAAGCACUUACUCGGGAUUACACAGCUAGUAAGUGGUAUGCCCAGGACUAGAACUUGGGUCUCCUUAUCCCAGGGCACUUUCCCUGUAUUCCACUGCCCCCACCCACCCAGAAUCAAUACUAACAAGUAACAAGCAUGGACUGCAUCAGAAAGGAGGGGCACUAACCAGCUCGUUUGCUCCUGCUGUUUGAUUCCUCUGCUCUCCCCCCUGCCCCUCCUCAUAGAUGGUCCCCAGAAAGCUCCUGCCCUCACUGACCUCCCUCUCUUCUGACCACCUGUUACAUCUAUGCCACCCAACCGAGUACCUACUUAUGUGUUUUCUCUUGGUUCUCCUAUAUAUGUCUGGUUGCCCCCAAAAGAUUCUUGAGGGCCAAGACCAUACCUCCUAUGCCUCUAUAUUCCUACAGCACUCAAGUGCUGGGUUCAUAGUAGGACUUCAGUAAUGCAAAUACUCACUUGAUGGGUUGAUGGUGCCAGCAGCUGGGCACAGGGCAAGGUCUGGGAGGGCACAGGUGGAGAGAGGGGGCAAACCCUGAAAGAAGAUAACAUAGUAACCCCUGAGGGUGCCUCACAUCACAGUUUAGAAAGCAUUUUCGUACACAUUCUCUCUCCAUCAUGCUUCGAUCCAGUCAACAAAACUUACCCAAGUGCCUACUAACUGCUGUGCUAACCACGAACUGGCUUCGGGGCUGAAUCACCACAAUGCUGGGAAGUAGGUGUUAUUCCCACUUAAAGGAAAAGAAAAUUGAAGCCCAGGGAGGCUAAGCUCUGGUGUGAAAAAUCCCAGAGCCUAGGAUAAUACCAGACCCAUAGAAGUGGGCUUUACUUUCCUCUCCCCUCUCCAGGGUGUUGCAGGUAUAAUAUGAGCCACAAGGCAAGAGGGUCAUGUCUCAAACAGGAUGCUUGUUAGAAGGAAGGGUCCACCUUAUUUAUGUGGAUCAGUCUUCUCGUUACAUACAUGACAAGCCACAUGGGCUUGUUACAUCCGUUUAGCACAAUGCCAGGUUCAUAGUAGGUCCAGAAAACAACAUUUGUAGGGGUGCGUGGUGGCUGUGUUGCAAGGGGUCUCUCAAAUGUGGUACACAGGAAGUUCAAGCAUAUUCAGCAUGUCCUGUGGAGCAGUCAUGUAGCCUGCUCCCCUGGGUGGGGCUGUGACUCAUUCCCCCAGCGUAGGUUCUAGGUUGGGAUGCGGAGCUCUGCUCUGGGCAGCCACGAGUUCUGGGUGGAACCCCAGGGUGAGCAAGGAGGAGAUGGGGAGAGAGGCCGGCGGCCCGCUGCUGGAAUCGGGCGGCUCCCUCUACUGGCGAACUCGGGGAACCACCGUGUAUUUCGUUUAUGUGUGUGUCAGUGUGUCGCGAGGAGUGUCACAGGUGUGUUCGAGAGUGUCGGUCGAACUGCUGGCAUGGGUAUAGGUGUGCGAGGGUGCCUGCUCGUGGCGCACUGUGGGUGUGCCAGCGCCACGCGGGCCUGUUUCUGGAACCACAGGGUGUACGUACACAGCCACAUCUCAUAAUACAAUUUACUUUGGGGUGGGGGUGGGGGUGAGGCACUAGGGCUGCUGAUUGUCUGAGAUCACUUCCUGGGGUGACUAGGACGCAAGGGUCCUCCAGCUGCUACUCCUCAUGGGCCUCGUGCAGGUGAGAGGGAUUCAGAACCGGAGAAAUGUUCCUGGAAAGGGAUCCUCAAGCAACUAAGGAACCAAGAAAGGGUUAACUUUGAGCCCCACAGUGACUUCAAUCAUUGGCUCAGGGCUGUGUCAGUCAGCGUUCUGGGGGUGGGGUUUGCGGGGCCGCUUUCGGACUGCCCAGCGCCCCUCACUUGCCCCUCGACCCCGCACAUCAUUUCACUUCUGGGCUGCGCCCACACCCCCCCAUCUUGGCGGAGAGAGCUUCCCGGGCCAUGAAGGAGGAGCGGAUCCGGGCAUCCUGGGCUUCCCCACUCCAGCUGCCUGGCUUCCUGAUAGAUGGUGAUUAUUAUAUAAUAGACCUGCUGGACAGAACCGUGCCAGCGCUCGGAACACUUUCCCCCUCCUCGAAGCCUGCCCCACAGCCUGGCACCAGCCGCACAGAGCCUGCUGCCCGGCUCUGCCGGCGCCCCCCAGCACCGCCUCCAUACCGGGGAGGGAGACCUCUGGGCCAUCUUCCCUGGUGGCCCUUGGGCCGUGUCCUGGGAUGGGGCGGGCGCCAGGCUGCGAGCCGGGCUGGCGCCCAGCAGGUCUCAGGGUCGGUCUGCGGAGUAUGGCUUCAACAGCACCACUCCAUGAUUGUGGGACCCACCUGGCUCCUCCAACCUGAACUUGGAACUUGGGAGCCAAUAAAGGAAUCCUUCUCUGACCAACGCCACCUACUUAUUCAUUCAACAAAUAUUUAUUGAGGACCUACUAUGUGCCAGGCUCUGGACUAGACAAUAGGUAUAUUUUGGUGAACAAGACAGAUGUGGUCCUUGCCCUCACAGACAACAAGUGAACAGUUGACUUCAAGUUGGCAUCAUGAAGGCUUGGGGAGCACUUCAGAGAUGCCUAUCCUGGACUUGGGAGUCUUGGAAAGUUUCCUGCAGGGAGCCACAUCUGAGCUGAGCCUCACUGCAGCCUAAGGUGCGGUUCUGUCCAGGCGGACAGUUCAUCUUGCUGGAGGUUUAAUGAUAGAACAAGAUCCCAGCAAGGGAUCUCACACACGUUAUGAGAGAGCUCUAAGGCUCCCUUCCCAAACUACCCAUUUAAAUCAAUUCUCCCAGUCCCAAAAGAAGGAAGACUGGGGGGAGAGUGAAGAGUCUGUGACCUUGGCCUAGUCACACCCUGUCUCUGGGCCUUAGUUUCUUCAAAUGUAGAACAAGAGGGUUGGAUGAUUUUA